This is a non-coding RNA of Pelobates cultripes (western spadefoot toad), 201 nucleotides long. NCBI's taxonomy places the organism in Eukaryota, Metazoa, Chordata, Amphibia, Anura, Pelobatidae. The record is from the annotation of a GenBank genome assembly.
CUAGAUUACUAACGCUAUAGUGUUGCUCUCCCAAGCUCUAAAUUGGUCCCUCCCCCCCAUGGUGCAAAUAUUCCAGUAGUGAGACCCAUCAGAGCUGCUGACUUCUCCUCAUGUCACGGAGAUGACCUUUCCCCCAACAUGAAGGACUAAUCUAUUGCCGGGGACUGAAUGUUCAUUAGCAGCAAGUUCAUUCAACCUUCC